RNAcentral lists this ribosomal RNA (250 nucleotides) under uncultured bacterium. RNAcentral's name for it is "partial 16S ribosomal RNA". It matches the Rfam family "Bacterial small subunit ribosomal RNA", at positions 524 to 773 of the family's 1533-position model. The record is from RNAcentral.
UACGUAGGGUGCGAGCGUUAAUCGGAAUUACUGGGCGUAAAGCGUGCGCAGGCGGUUUUGUAAGCCAGAUGUGAAAUCCCCGGGCUUAACCUGGGAAUGGCAUUUGGGACUGCAAGGCUUGAGUGCGGCAGAGGAGACUGGAAUUCCUGGUGUAGCAGUGAAAUGCGUAGAUAUCAGGAGGAACACCGAUGGCGAAGGCAGGUCUCUGGGCUGACACUGACGCUCAUGCACGAAAGCGUGGGGAGCAAAC